RNAcentral lists this ribosomal RNA (500 nucleotides) under Davidius moiwanus. RNAcentral's name for it is "partial 16S rRNA". It matches the Rfam family "Bacterial large subunit ribosomal RNA", at positions 1831 to 2597 of the family's 2925-position model. The record is from RNAcentral. Lineage: Eukaryota; Metazoa; Arthropoda; Insecta; Odonata; Gomphidae.
GUCCUCUUAGUUGUAUAUGAGGUCAGGCCUGCCCAGUGAAUUUUAUUUUAACGGCCGCAGUAUUUUGACCGUGCAAAGGUAGCAUAAUCAUUAGUCUUUUAAUAGGAGGCUGGAAUGAAGGGUUUGACGAGGUGUUAACUGUCUCAUUUAAUUUGAAAUUAAAAUUUAAGUUUUCAAUUAAAAGGCUGAAAUUAUAUUGGAAGACGAGAAGACCCUAUAGAACUUUAUAGUUGUAAAUAUAAUUAAUUGUUUUUUAUAGUCAUAUGUCUAUUUUGUUGGGGUGACAAAAAUAUAAAAGUAACUUUUUUAUUUAGUGAUCAUUGAUUUAUGAACUUUAGAUCCAAUUUUAUUAAUUAUUAGAAUAAUUUACCUUAGGGAUAACAGCGUAAUCUUCCUUCAGAGUUCAUAUUUACAGGAAGGAUUGCAACCUCGAUGUUGGAUUAAGAUAAUAGUUAGGUGUAGCCGCUUAAUUUAUAGGUCUGUUCAACCUUUAAACUCUU